Molecule: long non-coding RNA, 568 nt
Filed under: Prunus persica (peach)
Lineage: Eukaryota; Viridiplantae; Streptophyta; Magnoliopsida; Rosales; Rosaceae
Description: long non-coding RNA (PPER_LNC001160)
Source: RNAcentral
CCAAUUUGGAAGAAAGAUAAUUAAUUUUGCUUAAUUAAUAUAAAACCAAAGCCACCUAAUUUUACCAAAAGGACAUCCAACAACCCUAAAAUUACUACAUGUGCCAUUGUGCUUAACUGUCAAAUACAGUUUAUUUAAUUAUAAACCAAAACUUAAAACUGUCAAAACGACAUAACAUUCCCACAAAACACAACACAAAACGACACUACUCAAAUUUAAUCACUUCAAAAACUGGUUUCGCUCGACCUUUCAUAUCCCACUGCAAACCUACAAACUAUUCUCCAAAAACGAAGCCGAUGAGCAGCAACGAGGACGACCAGAAACGAAGACGACGAGUAACGGCGACGACGACCAACGACCACCUACUACGAGCAACGACCACCGACGACGACCGAAACUAAACCGUAAGAAAAUGAAUCAGUACUAUCUUCGAUUUUAGGUUUUACACCAACGACGGUUUCAGUACUGUUUCUUCCUUUUGGUUUCUGGUUGUUUGUAGUAGAUUUUGACCAGAAACUGCAAUGCAGUUUCUGGUUCCAUAAUUCAAUUUCAAAGUGCUUUUUGCUAG